AGUGAACGCUGGCGGUAGGCCUAACACAUGCAAGUCGAACGGCAGCACAGUAAGAGCUUGCUCUUACGGGUGGCGAGUGGAGGACGGGUGAGGAAUACAUCGGAAUCUACUUUUUCGUGGGGGAUAACGUAGGGAAACUUACGCUAAUACCGCAUACGACCUACGGGUGAAAGCAGGGGAUCUUCGGACCUUGCGCGAUUGAAUGAGCCGAUGUCGGAUUAGCUAGUUGGCGGGGUAAAGGCCCACCAAGGCGACGAUCCGUAGCUGGUCUGAGAGGAUGAUCAGCCACACUGGAACUGAGACACGGUCCAGACUCCUACGGGAGGCAGCAGUGGGGAAUAUUGGACAAUGUGCGCAAGCCUGAUCCAGCCAUACCGCGUGGGUGAAGAAGGCCUUCUGGUUGUAAAGCCCUUUUGUUGGGAAAGAAAAGCAGCAGGUUAAUACCCCGCUGUUCUGACGGUACCCAAAGAAUAAGCACCGGCUAACUUCGUG
RNAcentral lists this ribosomal RNA (492 nucleotides) under uncultured bacterium. Its description in RNAcentral is "partial 16S ribosomal RNA". It matches the Rfam family "Bacterial small subunit ribosomal RNA", at positions 29 to 507 of the family's 1533-position model. The record is from RNAcentral.